GUAACCUUCUCACUAUUUGUCACUGUCAGAAUAAGUUUUUUCCAUUGGUGACUGUCAAUAUAAAAAACUUGUUCUGACAGUGACAAAUAGUGAGAAGGUUAU
This 102-nucleotide microRNA precursor is filed under the name Megaselia scalaris. RNAcentral's name for it is "microRNA mir-263". Lineage: Eukaryota; Metazoa; Arthropoda; Insecta; Diptera; Phoridae. The record is from RNAcentral.